UACGGGGGGGGCAAGCGUUGUUCGGAAUUACUGGGCGUAAAGGGCUCGUAGGCGGCCAACUAAGUCAGACGUGAAAUCCCUCGGCUUAACCGGGGAACUGCGUCUGAUACUGGAUGGCUUGAGGUUGGGAGAGGGAUGCGGAAGUCCAGGUGUAGCGGUGAAAUGCGUAGAUAUCUGGAGGAACACCGGUGGCGAAGGCGGCAUCCUGGACCAAUUCUGACGCUGAGUGAGCGAAAGCCAGGGGAGCAAACGGG
This 254-nucleotide ribosomal RNA is filed under the name uncultured bacterium. RNAcentral's name for it is "partial 16S ribosomal RNA". It matches the Rfam family "Bacterial small subunit ribosomal RNA", at positions 524 to 776 of the family's 1533-position model. The record is from RNAcentral.